Molecule: ribosomal RNA, 514 nt
Filed under: uncultured bacterium
Lineage: Bacteria
Description: partial 16S ribosomal RNA
Rfam family: Bacterial small subunit ribosomal RNA
Source: RNAcentral
GAUGAACGCUGGCGGCGUGCCUAAUACAUGCAAGUCGAGCGAACAGAUGAGAAGCUUGCUUCUCUGAUGUUAGCGGCGGACGGGUGAGUAACACGUGGGUAACCUACCUAUAAGACUGGGAUAACUCCGGGAAACCGGGGCUAAUACCGGAUAAUAUUUUGAACCGCAUGGUUCGAUAGUGAAAGACGGUUUCGGCUGUCACUUAUAGAUGGACCCGCGCCGUAUUAGCUAGUUGGUAAGGUAACGGCUUACCAAGGCGACGAUACGUAGCCGACCUGAGAGGGUGAUCGGCCACACUGGAACUGGGACACGGUCCAGACUCCUACGGGAGGCAGCAGUAGGGAAUCUUCCGCAAUGGGCGAAAGCCUGACGGAGCAACGCCGCGUGAGUGAUGAAGGUCUUCGGAUCGUAAAACUCUGUUGUUAGGGAAGAACAAAUUUGUUAGUAACUGAACAAGUCUUGACGGUACCUAACCAGAAAGCCACGGCUAACUACGUGCCAGCAGCCGCCGUAA